RNAcentral lists this ribosomal RNA (159 nucleotides) under Kribbella sp. VKM Ac-2568. Lineage: Bacteria; Bacillati; Actinomycetota; Actinomycetes; Propionibacteriales; Kribbellaceae. The record is from RNAcentral.
UACGGUGACCAUAGCGUCGGGGAAACACCCAGUCUCCAUUCCGAACCUGGAAGUUAAGCCCGACAGCGCCGAUGGUACUGCGACCGGGAGGUCGUGGGAGAGUAGGACGUCGCCGGACAUUCACACUGUUAAGGGCCACCCACACCGGGUGGCCCUUAA